ACCUACGGGGGGCAGCAGUGAGGAAUUUUGGACAAUGGGCGCAAGCCUGAUCCAGCCAUGCCGCGUGAGUGAAGAAGGCCUUCGGGUUGUAAAGCUCUUUCGCAAGGGAAGAAAAGCCCCUCAAUAAUACCGGGGGGUCAUGACGGUACCUUGAUAAGAAGCACCGGCUAACUACGUGCCAGCAGCCGCGGUAAUACGUAGGGUGCGAGCGUUAAUCGGAAUUACUGGGCGUAAAGCGAGCGCAGGCGGUUUUGUAAGUCAGAUGUGAAAUCCCCGGGCUCAACCUGGGAACUGCGUUUGAAACUGCAAGGCUAGAGUGUGUCAGAGGGAAGUAGAAUUCCACGUGUAGCAGUGAAAUGCGUAGAGAUGUGGAGGAACACCGAUGGCGAAGGCAGCCUCCUGGGAUAACACUGACGCUCAUGCUCGAAAGCGUGGGGAGCAAACAGGAUUAGAUACCCGGGUAGUCGU
This 468-nucleotide ribosomal RNA is filed under the name uncultured bacterium. Its description in RNAcentral is "bacterial SSU rRNA". It matches the Rfam family "Bacterial small subunit ribosomal RNA", at positions 337 to 797 of the family's 1533-position model. The record is from RNAcentral.